AACGAACGCUGGCGGCAGGCCUAACACAUGCAAGUCGAGCGAGGACUUCGGUUCUAGCGGCGGACGGGUGAGUAACGCGUGGGAAUGUGCCCUUCUCUACGGAAUAGCCCUGGGAAACUGGGAGUAAUACCGUAUACGCCCUUUUGGGGAAAGAUUUAUCGGAGAAGGAUCAGCCCGCGUUGGAUUAGGUAGUUGGUGGGGUAAUGGCCUACCAAGCCGACGAUCCAUAGCUGGUUUGAGAGGAUGAUCAGCCACACUGGGACUGAGACACGGCCCAGACUCCUACGGGAGGCAGCAGUGGGGAAUCUUAGACAAUGGGGGCAACCCUGAUCGAGCCAUGCCGCGUGAGUGAUGAAGGCCUUAGGGUUGUAAAGCUCUUUAAGCUGGGAAGAUAAUGACGGUACCAGCAGAAGAAGCCCCGGCUAACUCCGUG
Molecule: ribosomal RNA, 433 nt
Filed under: uncultured bacterium
Lineage: Bacteria
Description: partial 16S ribosomal RNA
Rfam family: Bacterial small subunit ribosomal RNA
Source: RNAcentral